RNAcentral lists this ribosomal RNA (253 nucleotides) under uncultured bacterium. Its description in RNAcentral is "partial 16S ribosomal RNA". It matches the Rfam family "Bacterial small subunit ribosomal RNA", at positions 524 to 776 of the family's 1533-position model. The record is from RNAcentral.
UACGGAGGGUGCAAGCGUUGUCCGGAUUUAUUGGGUUUAAAGGGUGCGUAGGUGGCUUGUUAAGUCAGCGGUGAAAGCCCGGGGCUCAACCCCGGAACCGCCGUUGAUACUGGUGGGCUUGAGAGUCGUCGAGGGUGGCGGAAUGGACGGUGUAGCGGUGAAAUGCAUAGAUACCGUCCAGAACCCCAAUUGCGUAGGCAGCUGCCUAGGCGACAUCUGACACUGAGGCACGAAAGCGUGGGGAGCGAACAGG